RNAcentral lists this long non-coding RNA (1045 nucleotides) under Eucalyptus grandis. RNAcentral's name for it is "long non-coding RNA (EGRA_LNC005526)". The record is from RNAcentral. Lineage: Eukaryota; Viridiplantae; Streptophyta; Magnoliopsida; Myrtales; Myrtaceae.
CAAAUUAGUAAUUACAAUAAUUCUAGGGAAUAUCCUGUGGAUAAUGCCUACAAAAUCCAUAAAAUAAAGAUCACCCCAAAACAUAAAACAAAUAAAUAAAACAAAUAGAAAAAUAGAAAUAAAACUACCUAAUUUCUUUUCCUUUUUCUUCCUUUUGUUUUUUUUCCUUUUCCUGCUUUCUUCACCUACGGUCGAGCGGCUUCGGUGGGUCACCGGAGGUUGGGUCUUCGGCGUUCAGAGCUCCGGCAAGGGCGGCAGCAGGCACAGCUGGUCACGGGUCGGGCGAGACAGGGGCGGCACGGGCGAAGGAGACAGCCGGCGUCGGAGUACGUUGGAGCAGCAACGUGGGCAGCCGGCGUCGGAGUAUUGGCGCGGACUGGGCGGCAGCAGCAACAGGGAGGCGCGGCGUCGGUGGCCGGCGAACAGCGGGGUUGCGGGUCGCAGCGGUGUUGUCCCACGGGUGUGUAGCGGCUCGGCGUUCAGUUCCGGCGUCGUGGGUCAGCAAGCAGAGCAGCAACGGCGACGGGGCACGGGCUGAGGCGCGGCGGCGGAGCUGCGGACGUCGUAGCUGAGGUCACCGGAGAGGGGUUUCGAAUGGAGGCUAGCAGACGCGGCGACAGCGCUGGGUCAUGGGCUACUGGCUGCUGGGCGGCGACAGCAAGGCGGCGACAGCAAGGCGGUGCUUGGGCUUCUAGUUGCAGGCGAGGCAGAUCCGGUGGUAGCAGCAGCGUCGCAGGGGCUCACAGGCGGGGCACAGCGAUGCUGGUGCGGCGGUAGCGACCGGGAGACUCGGGAUCUGCAGGUGGGUCGCUCGGGCGUGAGGCGGAACAGGGCUGCUGGGGCGCGGUGACAGGUAGCAAUCGGCAAGGUCAGGAGCGGCGGGCUUCGUCGGAGCUCCGGCGUCGGGGUACGUUGGAACAGCAACGUGGGCAGCAAGUUGGGAAGACGAUGAACAGUAGGAGUCAAAUUACCUUUUUACUUUUACCUUUUCCCCUCUCUCUCUCUCUUUCUCUCUCUCUCUCACUCUCCUGCUGACCUUUUUUUG